RNAcentral lists this ribosomal RNA (296 nucleotides) under uncultured bacterium. RNAcentral describes it as "partial 16S ribosomal RNA". It matches the Rfam family "Bacterial small subunit ribosomal RNA", at positions 775 to 1067 of the family's 1533-position model. The record is from RNAcentral.
GGAUUAGAUACCCUGGUAGUCCACGCUGUAAACGAUGGAUACUAGGUGUGGCGGGUAUUGACCCCUGCCGUGCCGCAGUUAACACAAUAAGUAUCCCACCUGGGGAGUACGGUCGCAAGACUGAAACUCAAAGGAAUUGACGGGGGCCCGCACAAGCAGUGGAGUAUGUGGUUUAAUUCGAAGCAACGCGAAGAACCUUACCAGGUCUUGACAUCCUAGGAAUCCUGUAGAGAUACGGGAGUGCCCUUCGGGGAAUCUAGUGACAGGUGGUGCAUGGUUGUCGUCAGCUCGUGCCG